AAGGAGAACUAUUAUACACAACAUUUCAAGAUGACUGGUUGCACACAAGAGAAUUAGACUGACUGAAAUAUUAGGUGGGUCAAUUUACAAAUAUACAUUUCUCUGUAUGAGACAGUUUCUCUAAGUUUUACUGAACAGUUAGUGAACUGUUUUCAAAGAGGACUUUAUCUUUCACUUGGACACAUUCUGCGUUAUUCUUAUAGACCACAGCAAGCAUGUGGAUAUUAAGCAUUUAAAAGGCAUUUUAAAUUAACUCAUGCAUGUUUCUUGUAGAUUAUUUAAAAAUGCAGGAAGGGAAACAUCAUGAGUUAUCCUAUCACUGUAGAAAAAAAUGCUUCAAUAUUGAGAUAAACUGCCUUUUAUUUAUAUCACAUGGUAUCUUGCUUUUUCAUUUACAAUGUUGCGAACAUUCCCUAGUAUCAUUAAAAACAAUUUUAUAUCUGGUUUUAAAGUACACAGGCAGUCACAUAUUUUACACAUAUAGGAUGUUUCUUGCAAUUUUAAGUACUGUUCUAAUGAGCAUUGUUAUACUUACCUGUGUUUCUACAUCUUUCGUUUUCCCCUUAAAGUAGAUCCUUGAAGGAUAAUUACUGUAUCAGAAGGUACAAUGUUUUUUUUCUAACCUCUAAAAAUAUUUUUGAUGUCUAUUUAAAGCAGGAAUAUUAAACAUAGACCAGUAUAGUUCAUUAUAUAUUUUAAAUCUCACAUCAAAUUUUUUACAGAAUGUUGAAAGGUCUGUGAAUAGGAUUUUGAACAGAAAAAAAACCGGCAAUCUUCAUGCUCUCACUUUGCUCUCAGCAAGAACACCUGGGAUUCUUCAGCCUUGCCAUGUGUGGAGAACAGCCCAAAAAUAGGCCUGCGAACACUUCCAAGAUGGAUUGCUACUCUUUGCCUGAAGUAAAACAGAACCAGCUUUUAUUCACAUGCAGACUGAAAGGAAGACUCUCAGGUCAGACUGAAUCUCAGCAGAAUGGAAGUAUUUUCCCUCCAACUGUCAUCUCACCCCUUUUUCUCACGUGGUCUAUGGAACUCUUCAGGAGGCCCGGUCACUCCAGAAUUCUAUUCCUUGCAGACAGGAGCUUCUGUUCAGUCCCCAGAGAAUAUAGUUUGGGUAAUUCUUGCCAGCAACAUUCUCUUCAAGUCUGUCACAUGUCUUAUUGCCCAUCUGCAGAAUAAACUUCUGGAGGAAAGCCAGCAACUGACAAAUGGACAAUACAGCAACUGACAAAUGGAACGUUCUCCGAAGCUAAAUGGAAAACUCAUCAAUCAUACCCCCCGGUUGCCGAGUUAUACAUGGUGGAAAUCAUGUUCCGUGUCAAGUCUACCUUGAUAAGUCACACUUGUUCACUAACCCGCACAUCUCUAGCAAUGAACAGAGAAGGUAAAGGAGAAAGAACGACCCCAGGACUAAUUCCUUCAUUUCCUCCAGAUAUGAACUCUUGCUUUCAGAUGUUAAACGGUUGCUAAUUUCUUCCAGUAUUUAACAUGGAUGGUUUCUAGUCAUUAAACAAAAAGAGAAGAUGCCAGUUGAGAUAAAAAUCCCUCGGCACACAUUAAGUACACACAUUUCUGAGCAAACUACAACCAGACUUCAGAUGCCUGAGAAAUAGCACAGGCUGAAUUGAGUCACGGAGAACUAAUCAGUUUUCUGUUGUCCAGCCAAGCUCGUGUUUGUCUAGUUGUUUGCAUAUUCCUUGCCCAAACAGCAACAUCAAAGUAACAAGGAGAUGCCAGAAACUAGCACUACUUUAAAAGAAGACACUGUCUUUAAUUUGCUCACUUAUUAAACAAAUAUUAUGGGAUGCCUAUCAUUUGCCAGAUAUUGUUCUAGGCACUGGGGAUACCACAAUGAGCAAGAGACCUUUCCCCACAAAGAGAAAGGUCCUCUGCUAGUUCAUGAAAUGUCUUAUGAUUCAAAAUGAGAAAAUUAUAGUAAUGAUAAUGAAAUGGGUGAAAUAAUACAUAGUAGAAUAAAUAUGUUUUAAUGGGAGAGGGACUAUGGCCAGAAAGAUAUUUUCUUCAAGCUCUGAAAUAAAGCUUUCUUACAAACAAGUAAAAUUAAAGAAAUCCUAAGUGUGUCAACCUUUGUUUUAAUUUUUAUUGUGAAGAUUGUACCCAGAAGAAAAUGGAAAUGACUUCUAAAUACAUGAGAAUAGAUAAGUAUGAGUGUAGAUGUAUGUGGUGUAUAACUUCCUAUAGGUUUCUCCAGUCCUUUGCAGUUUCUAUUGAACUUUCUCAAAUCCAUUAGGUAAACCAACCAAAAAUGAAAAACUAGAGGCUCUUUCCUUCCUGCCACCCACAAAAUCAGCCCAGA
RNAcentral lists this long non-coding RNA (2314 nucleotides) under Suricata suricatta (meerkat). RNAcentral describes it as "lncRNA (ENSSSUG00005005460.1)". Lineage: Eukaryota; Metazoa; Chordata; Mammalia; Carnivora; Herpestidae. The record is from RNAcentral.